This 406-nucleotide ribosomal RNA is filed under the name uncultured bacterium. Its description in RNAcentral is "bacterial SSU rRNA". It matches the Rfam family "Bacterial small subunit ribosomal RNA", at positions 355 to 773 of the family's 1533-position model. The record is from RNAcentral.
UGGGGAAUAUUGCACAAUGGGCGCAAGCCUGAUGCAGCAACGCCGCGUGAGGGACGACGGCCUUCGGGUUGUAAACCUCUUCCAGCAGGGACGAAGCGUAAGUGACGGUACCUGCAGAAGAAGCGCCGGCCAACUACGUGCCAGCAGCCGCGGUAAGACGUAGGGCGCGAGCGUUGUCCGGAUUUAUGGGGCGUAAAGAGCUCGUAGGCGGCUUGUCGCGUCGACCGUGAAAACCUGGGGCUCAACCCCAGGCCUGCGGUCGAUACGGGCAGGCUAGAGUUCGGUAGGGGAGACUGGAAUUCCUGGUGUAGCGGUGAAAUGCGCAGAUAUCAGGAGGAACACCGGUGGCGAAGGCGGGUCUCUGGGCCGAUACUGACGCUGAGGAGCGAAAGCGUGGGGAGCGAAC